UAUGGAUGUUCCCGGGGCCAGGGGUCAAAUCCGAGCAGCAGUUACCAACAAUGCAGCAUCCCUAACCCACUGUGCUGGGCCAGGGAUCACACCCGUGCCUCUGCAGCAACCCGAGCCGCUGCAGAGACAAUGCCGGCUCCCUCACCUUCCCCACCACAGCGGGAACUCCUGGAUGCACUAUUUCUAAACCAGUAGAAAAGGGGAGACGACAUAAUGUCACGUCCAUUGACGGAGGCCCAGGAACCAGUGUCUGGACUGCAACACAGCCGUCCGAGGCAGAGGGGACAACUUUGUGAACGUGGGAGGUUUCACACGCAACAUCACGUCCUCUCACCCAUGCAAAAAAAGCAAAGACGUGUGUCUUUUCAUAGGUAAACAUAUGUUCCUAAAGGCACAGAGAAAGCUCUAUGGUGUGCGUACAAAGCUUUGGGCAGGAGGGAGUGGGGCAUGAGGACACAAAGGGGGGGUUGUAGUUUCUAUUCGACGCACUUCUGUAUUAUUUGAAACUUGGCAUCAAGAAGUAUGUAAAUUUUCAGAGAGGGAAGAAAGGUCCGCAGAACAGUAAAAGUUCAUGGUCCAUUUUUCCAGACCGGGGAGACCCCCACUGAAAACAAAGCAGAAGUCGUGACUGUUCUUUUCCCUUUUUCCCAGCGCGUACGUAUAAUUUUAUCUCACUGAACCCUCUCGACAGGGAUCACUUCCUGUCCAACACCUGCAGCCCGCGAGCAUCACCCUUCGGCCAGGGCGGAAGCGGAUGCCCCCACAGCCUGGGCGAGAGGAGCAGCAUGCCUCCACCGCCCGGCCCCCCGCCGGCCUGGGGUCUGGAAAGGGGCCCCUCUGCCGCUCGCCUCCCCCAGUGAUGGAAGGGCGAUACGCCGCUCAUCUCUCCGGCGUCUUAUUCAUCACCCGAGUAACCUUGGCAACGACGGGGCAGCCGCAAGCAGCCUGACACAUUCAGCCGCCUCCAAAUGCUUUCCCCCGCGCUCACCCAGCCAGCCGGGGGCAAAGCCAGAUUUAGAGGCCUCCACGUUUAGGGACCCCUGGGGUGGCGGGGUGGCCUGCCAUGAACAUGUCCUCUCACCGGCCAGAAGCCACUCCCUCCAGGACAGACACUGCCAGAUGCUCAGGCACCUGGCUGGCGUUCCCCACAACUGCCUGCGGUAUGUUUGCCAUUUCCCAUCACAGCCCUGGAAGACCCUUCCCAGCCAAUCCCGUAGCCCCUCCCGUCCCGAAUGAAUCCCCCUCCCAAACAUCCCCCGUUCCUCCCGCCUUCUCCCAGCCAGGCCAGGGGCACCUCCAUCGCCUCUCGCUCCUGUUCAAGCCCACACGCCACGAGGUUGCAUUCCCUGCAUGCCAGGCAGCCAGCAAGCCACCUGGACAAAGUAGGAGCUCAGGGAAUCCACAGUCAGUGAAUCUACAGGGAACAGAGUGCCCCUGAGACCAGAAAGCUGAGGUUAUCGAUGGAAAGGGGAGCCCGGAAGAGACUGUUCUGAAACGCUCCCUGGGCUGAGAUAAAUAUCACCCCUGUUUAUGCCCCCUGAGGGUUUGUGGAGCCUCUUCUAUGAGGGGCCCAGCUCUGGAGCAUAACAGACCAGAAUCCUGCGCCCAGGAGCUCGCCGGCCGACAGAGAUGGGCCAGGAGGGCAGGAGGGCGGUGCUGGCCACCCCCGAGUCAGACGAUGAGAGAUUUCCACUCUAACAGCUAACGGGGACACGGGGGUUGGUGAUGGGGUCAGUGUCAGGGCGUGAGGAGGGUCACCGCAUUGCUGAGGGCGUCAGGCUGGGCCUGGCCACGCAGGAGCCACCAAGGUCUUGAGCAAGGGCCUGGCCCUGGGGCAGAGGCAGGUGUGGAACAGGUGGGAGGCGGCUGGCGCCGGGAUGCUGUGCAGAGAAGAUAAUGGCCAGGCUGCCCCGGGCACCAGAUCAGACGCCGAGGGGCCCUCUGUGCCUCUGGGCUCUUCAGGACCCAGGCGACCUUCUUUUUGGCCUUUCUGCAGGUGGGACCUGUGUCCUUCCCUGGGUGGGAUUUCACAGAGCAAUUUGGCGCUGUCCCAGACAAGAUCGCCAGCCCAGCAUCUCGGGCUGCUGCACCCCUGGAAACUGAGGGAGACGGGCAAAGGGAGCAGCUGCCUCAAGGCUGCAGCGAAUAACAACUCUCGCCACGCUCCCCGCUCCCAGAGACUACGCAGCAGGAACCAGGCUCUGUCUCCUGCACUACUUGGCCCAGUGCAAUUUACACGCAGGUGUCCACACUGCCUCUCAAGGUCAUCGGGCAACUGCGUAGCAUUGGGGUUUGCUUCAUUUCUUACCAACCCUGUGGCAAAUCCCUGGAGCCUUCCAAGAAGGCUUCAGCCCAGGCUCGGGGUCAGGGGCUCCCCUGCUAGGGCAGAGAGCAGGAUGGGGUGCGGUCUGUCCUCCAGUGUCGAGCAAACAGAAUGAGUCCACUCACUGGCACUGCGACCCCUCUUGUUUUAUGCAUUUAAAGAACGCCUCUGAAUCAUUAGAGAACUUUGAAAAAAUAGUAGAGAAAGAAAGAGAGAGAGAAAAAAAUCCAAACCCUAAUUCAGAUACGGGCCACUUGUCUCUCAAGUCCUCAGACACACUUCACCUUGACACAGGGGCAGCCUCGUCCACUUUAAGUUUCCGGGGCGAUAAAAUGAACCCCACGUCCAGAAACCCGAUCUGUCCUAUUGUGCGCAGCAGCCCAAAGGGGGACGGCGGGGGGGGCGAGGUUGGACCCCAAAGGGCAGAUCCCACAAUCCCCCUCGGCACAAAGGCUGCUGUCUGGGUGGACCAGGUGUAACCAGAGCCCCAAUUCCCACGCAGCUUAGGGCCUGGACGAGGCAGUGGGAGGUCAGCCAGCCUAGGACAGCCACUCACCACCGGCUUCACACAAUGGGGUUCCCAGGAGCACACGACACAAUCUUAAGACUUAACACUGAGCGAGGACCCCACAGAGGCUUCUGUUACAAUAAGGACACUGGAAGAGGCCAGCUACCUGGCUGGCAGAGCCCUGACCGUGCAGUCCCCAUGCCGCCCACUCCUUCGUCAUCCGUCCCUUGGCCAAGAGCAGCCUAAGGCCACCUGAAGUCGUCUCAGCCCCUCCACCCUGUGAACGCUCCGAACAAACAAGCAACAACAACAAACGGGGCACAGCAAAAUUUUCCCUAUAAAAACAUGCAAUUCUCUCAUCACUUCAAUCAAGAAGCAACAAUGGGGUUUUUUCCCCCCAAUUCUAAACUAAUACAUUCUUAUGUAACCAAACCAUCAGGUGUUUGAAAUCGGAGACACCCCCCCACACCCCUUUUCUCAUUUCUUUCUUUUUCUGCUUGCUCGCUUUUACUUUCAUAAAACAUAUGGGUCCCAAAGCUACAAUUUUCUGGGCUUUAAAAUCGCUGGACAUGACACACGAUCUUUGGUUGCUUUCAACGUUCCACCUACACACAUGCAAUCUGAAGGGAAGGCUUUUUCUAACACUGUUUUUGAGUCUAAGUAAAACCAAGUUCCUGGAUGAAAAAGACACAUGCUUUUUUCUAGCCUCAAAUUCUAUGCGUGUUCUGCAAAAGCGCUGCAAACAAUCUCAAGUCAUGACACCUUUUCAGGCUAUUCCUGCUCCUGGGUUCUUCUCAGCGUUCGGAGAAUGACUCUCUUUCAGUCUCAGGUUUGAGUAACUUCAACCAACUUCCCUCGUGUCUCCUGAAAAACGGGAGCCUCUCUGCCCAGAGGGAUCACACAAAAAGCCACUGUUCCUGAUUAAGUAGGUUUUUUUGUGUCUUUUUUUUGUUUGUUUUUUCCCCCAUCCAGAAAGCCUAUACUUUGCCUGUUCUGGACCUGAUUAGAAACGAUAAUACCUUCUCGAGUCUCUCAAGACUUGCUGUUAAUCUGGGAUAACCUCACCACCGAGGUCCUGGCCCAGGUACGCGCAGGCAGGCUGUCUGGGCUGGACUUUCUGGAACUUUCCUAAAACAGUGACUUCCAUGCACAGCCCCCCCCCCCCAAAAAAUCAGAUGGGCAGUAAAAUACAGGCAUUCCUCCGUUUUCUUUUGCUUUUUCACCCCGAUCCAGGGCAGUGCUCCUCCCCCUCCAUCUCCAGGAGGGGGGGACACGAGGCCGGCCCAGGCAGCUGAAUGCACAGGGCAGUGUUUAUGGCAGAGGCUGGGGGAAAAAGAGCAAAUUGUUUCCAAGCGAGAGCUCCCAUGUGCAGCUCUGCUUUAGAAAAAGGCUUUGCAUCUGGAGAAACUCAAGGGCUGCUGAAAGAAGGGCCAGCAGUUUAUCCGUUUAAAAUCUAUGGAAAGUUAAGCACAGACACCGGCAGCCUCCACUUGCCGUUUGAGGCAAGCCUAUUCGAUCUCCUCUUUUCCCUGGAAUAAAUAAAGGGACACAAAGGCAGCCUCUGCGCCUUUAAAAGGAAAGGAAAAAGUUGCCACAUUGAGACUUUGCAGGGCCAAGUUUCAGGGGGUGUCAAGGCAUCGAAUACCUUCAAAGGGCUAUAAACCAUUUCAGGGGGCUUCUCCUUCUUCUGGGAAAUGUAAUUAUCCUGGGGUGAGCAAGUGAAGUGAAAGGAAAGCAAGAAAGAGAGACAAGAAAAGAAAGAAAGGAAGGAAGGAAAAAAGGAAGGAAGGAAGGAAAGAGAAAGAGAGAAAGAAGGAAAGAGAGAAAGAAAGGAAGAGGAAGGAAGGAAGAAAGAAAGAAAGAAAGAAAGAAAGAAAGAAAGAAAGAAAGAAAAGAGAGAAGGAAAGAAAGAAGAAAGAAAAAGAGAGACAGAAAGGAAGAAAGAGAAAGAAAGAAAGGAAGAAAGAGAAAGAAAGAGAGGGCAAGGGAGCCGGGCAGUCUGACUUUUACCACUUCUCAUUCUGCCUGUAACUUGCAGGUCUUGGCUAUAACCACCCCUGCCUGACCUCACUCCAAAGGCUUUCCCCGCAGUUACUGCCUGAAUCUCCAUGCACAAAAACUGAACAAAAGUCCUGUUUUAUUUCAAGUGUAUCAUUCCAUUGCAACAUCCUAGACUUGUACAUGUGCCUUUUUUUCCCCACAUGAAGCUGGACUUAACACCUUCUGAGAGAAUAAUAAAUACACAAAUUAGACGAGGAAGGAUGCAGUCAGGAGACAAACGGGCCAAGCUGUAUUUAACAUUCACCCUUAUAGCUUCCGGAUUUACAGGCUCUGGUAAUCCCUCCAAAGCACUGAAUUCAAACACAUCCUGAGCCCGCAAAGAUUCUCGGCACCGUUUUCUUCUUCGUUGAAGAAGAUGCCUCUUCAUAAAGGGUCCGUCUUUCUGGAAUCACACACUCACUGCCAAUUCUGCUUCCCCAUUGAUACACCAGGAGUGAAACAGGUAAGCAGCGGUGCCAAGCUGACCCCCUUGCCAACUUUGAGCAAGCUGAAUGGACCGUCUGCGUUCUUGUGAAGUGAUCUGCCGGCAGGAGCUUAAAUACCCACGGCAGCAAACAAAUCCCCGAUUCCNNNNNNNNNNNNNNNNNNNNNACUCCCCAAUCCCAAAAAAAAAAAAAUCCCGGGGGGGGGGGGGGGGCUUCCACUUCAGAAAACUGCCCUUUUUCCUCUCUGCAGCCAAGGCGAAGCCGCACAUUAGCAGCCGCACUUUGCAAUGCAGCCAUGCAGCUUGCAGCCCCUGCUUUCAGAAACCAGACCUGCAGACUCCCAAGCACCCAUCACCACUACGAAUAAACGAGACCCCUGAAAAAGAGCGCUUAGCUUAAGAGCAGAAGCCCUGCCCGCCGUCCUCCCUCCCUUUCUAAGCAGGGCUGCCGACCCAGCUCAGUCUCCUUACCUCCCGGCUGGGCUCGGCGUAGGGCUCCCCUUCCCAGCUCCCUGCGAUCACUGCCUU
RNAcentral lists this long non-coding RNA (5844 nucleotides) under Sus scrofa (pig). Its description in RNAcentral is "lncRNA (ENSSSCG00005009780.1)". Lineage: Eukaryota; Metazoa; Chordata; Mammalia; Artiodactyla; Suidae. The record is from RNAcentral.